This is a small nucleolar RNA of Malania oleifera, 78 nucleotides long. RefSeq annotates it as small nucleolar RNA Z199. The transcript has a single exon. Lineage: Eukaryota; Viridiplantae; Streptophyta; Magnoliopsida; Santalales; Ximeniaceae. The record is from RefSeq and is a predicted model, not a curated record.
AAUCAUGUGAUGAGGAAAAAACUGCAACAAUAUGAUGGAUUUGUUCCGUGAUUCGUUGUAUUUAAGUCUCUGAUGAUU